RNAcentral lists this ribosomal RNA (606 nucleotides) under uncultured Hyphomicrobiales bacterium. Its description in RNAcentral is "bacterial SSU rRNA". It matches the Rfam family "Bacterial small subunit ribosomal RNA", at positions 8 to 590 of the family's 1533-position model. Lineage: Bacteria; Pseudomonadati; Pseudomonadota; Alphaproteobacteria; Hyphomicrobiales. The record is from RNAcentral.
AGAGUUUGAUCCUGGCUCAGAACGAACGCUGGCGGCAGGCUUAACACAUGCAAGUCGAGCGCCCCUCCUUCAAGCGAGCUUGAAGGGUUAUUUCCUUGAAAAGAAAGAUCAGCAGAGCUUUUAAGAAGCUCUCUUGAUGGAGGGGAGCGGCAGACGGGUGAGUAACGCGUGGGAAUCUACCCAUCCCUACGGAACAACUCCGGGAAACUGGAGCUAAUACCGUAUACGCCCUUCGGGGGAAAGAUUUAUCGGGGAUGGAUGAGCCCGCGUUGGAUUAGCUAGUUGGUGGGGUAAAGGCCUACCAAGGCGACGAUCCAUAGCUGGUCUGAGAGGAUGAUCAGCCACAUUGGGACUGAGACACGGCCCAAACUCCUACGGGAGGCAGCAGUGGGGAAUAUUGGACAAUGGGCGCAAGCCUGAUCCAGCCAUGCCGCGUGAGUGAUGAAGGUCUUAGGAUUGUAAAGCUCUUUCACCGGAGAAGAUAAUGACGGUAUCCGGAGAAGAAGCCCCGGCUAACUUCGUGCCAGCAGCCGCGGUAAUACGAAGGGGGCUAGCGUUGUUCGGAAUUACUGGGCGUAAAGCGCACGUAGGCGGAUAUUUAAGUCA